AGACCUGGGAUGGGGAGGCAGUGGGAGGAAACAGGUGCUGUGUGAGCAUUACUGGCUGACCGACUCUACCCCGGACACCCAUGGUCACAUCACCAUCCACCUCCUAGCUGAGGAGCCUGAGGAUGAGUGGACCAAGCGGGAAUUCCAGCUGCAGCACGUUGUCCAGCAACAUCAACGGAGGGUGGAGCAACUGCAGUUCACCACCUGAUCCGACCACAGCAUCCUUGAGGCUCCCAGCUCCCUGCUCGCCUUUAUGGAGCUGGUACAGUAGCAGGCAAGGGCCACCCAGGGCGUGGGACCCAUCCUGGUGCACUGCAGGUGACAGCAGCUCCUCAGGGGCUGUCCCUGCGGUGUGGGCAUGGGCCGGACAGGCACCUUCGUGGCCCUGUCGAGGCUGCUGCAGCAGCUGGAGGAGGAGCAGAUGGUAGACGUGUUCCAUGCUGUGUAUGCACUCCGGAUGCACCAGCCCCUCAUGAUCCAGACCCUGAGCCAGUACGUCUUCCUGCACAGCUGCCUACUGAACAAGAUUCUGGAAGGACCCUUCAACAUCUCUGAGUCUUGGCCCAUCUCUGUGACGGACCUCCCGCAGGCGUGUGCCAAGAGGGCAGCCAGUGCCAAUGCUGGCUUCUUGAAGGAGUACGAGCUCUUGCUGUAGGCCAUCAAGGACGAGGCUGGCUUUUCCGCACCCCCGCCUGGCUAUGAGCAGGACAGCCCCGUCUCCUAUGACCGUUCUCAGGGGCAGUUUUCUCCGGUGGAGGAGAGCCCCCCUGACGACAUGCCCGAAGCCUGGCUCUUCCCUGUGAGAUGAUGCUGGUUUUGCCACUGUUUCCUGCCCUCUCUGACCACCUGUACUUCCCGGGCUGGGGCUGCUGGGGGCUCCCAGAGUUGUGGACUGGGCAGGGGGCACCUUCAGUCUCUGGAAGCCAAUGAUCUGUGCUCUGCAGGGUGGGCCCUCUGGCCGUGAUCAUACGGUGCUGACUGGCCCCGCAGGGCCAAAGGAGCUCUGGGAGCUGGUGUGGCAGCACAGGGCUCAUGUGCUUGUCUCUCUUUGCCCACCCAAUGUCAUGGAGAAGGUGACAGAGCAGAGGACAGAGGAAGGGAGGCUCAGGAGUUAGGGCCAUAGGAAUUCUGGCCAACGGAGAUGCAGCCCGUAGUCACAGACAUGGUGACGGUGCACUGGGUGGCUGAGAGCAGCACAGCAGGCUGGUUCUGUACCCUCCUCAGGGUCACACAUGGGGAGAGCAGGAAGGAAAGGGAGGUGCAGAGACUGCAAUUUCCAUACCUGGAGCCUGGGCAUGAGCUGCCCGCCACCACCCUGCUGCCCUUCCUGGCUGCUGUGGGCCAGUGCUGCUCUCGGGGCAACAACAAGAAGCCGGGCACACUGCUCAGCCACUCCAAGUGUUGUUGGACAAUGGUCUUGGGGGAGUGGACAAUGGUCUUGGGGGAGCGGACACUGGAAGCCCCUCCCUGCCCUUCUGGCAUAGCCUCAGAUCUCCCUGGGCUCUGCUUGGGUUAUGGGUCAAAAGGACACAGUCUCACAAUGCCCCUGUCUUCUCCACACCCUACCCUGUCCUCAGGAAUAUGGUGGGAAUUUACCGCCUCCCUCCCUAGGUCCAGGCUGGCCGGCUGACCAAGUGUCCGGUGUCCCUUCUCAGUCCCUGCGCCCAGGUUGGGUUUUCCCACAUCCGUGGACACCCCCGCCACACCCCCUUUAGGUACCUCAUCCACCUCUAGGUCAGUUGCAGCAAGGGUGCAACCCAGCUGGGCACCUUCCUGGCCAUGGAGCAGCUGCUGCAGCAGGCAGGGUCUGAGUGCACCGUGGAUAUCUUUAACGUGGCCCUGCAGCAGUCUCAGGCCUGUGGCCUUAUGACCCCAACACUGAAGCAGUAUGUCUACCUCUACAACUGUCUGAACAGCGCGCUGGCAGACGGGCUGCCCUGAGUCAGCACUGGUCACGGUGCAGGAGAGGCCUGGGCCCAGCGUGUGGGUCUCGUGGGCAAACAUGGAGCCGGGAUGGAAGCUAGGACCUGGAGUCUGGUUGAACUUGGUGACCUAUGGCCCCUAUGCUGUUGGUUUUUCCCCUGAAGCAAUCCUCUCCCUGCUAAUCCUCCAGUUUCUAAAUUUCCUCAGACUUUGGUCUCUCCACGUCUAGUUUCCUGUGGUGCUAAGCCCUGGAUUCAGAAUCACAGCUCCAAAUUGUUUGUCCUCUGCCUCAUCACCCUGUACGCACCAUGCUGUAUGCAGUAGGGUUUAUCCUGUUUCCCACUUCCCUUCUCCUGCCAUCCCCAGCCUUCUCUACCUGCCAGAGCCCCCAGGGGCCACCCUCAGCCCCCACCAGGAUGGAGGUGCCAGAGCUACCCUGUUACUCGGAAGGCAGGUGCUGGAGGCACCCCUCAGGCGGAGGUGCCAAGUUUUCCCUGCUCCUUCUCUGUCUCCUUCUUCCUCCCCUCUACAUAAGAGGUGGGGGAGAAAGCAGGGAAGGCAUAUGGAGAAAGGAAAAACCAGGAGGAGCAGCAGAGACCAGAAAAGAGGGUGGGGAGGCAGCUGUCUGUCCCACACACUGUAGGACUGCACUGCAUACCAUGUGCAUGAUUGCUGGUGGCCACAUGAGCUCCUGCCUGCUUCCCUGGUCAGGCUGGGAGUUUCCAGGUGCAGUGCCUGAUGCUGGACACUAACUGCCCCUGGUGGAAGGCCCUGGGAGGACACAGAGAAAGCCUGGAAAGAUCAGAGCAAGAGUCCCUGAAAUGGAGUCGGGUCUCCCCAAGGGGAAGCGGGGAGAGCUCUUUGGCCAACCUGAGUUCCUACUAAGGUGCAACGGGUCAGAAGUCAGGAGGGUCCUUCUCAGGCCUGGUUGAAGAAGGGUACAGAGGUCGUGCUGGCUGCUCAGCCGGGAGCUUUCCCAGAACGAGACUAAAGCACUGGUGCCCUCCCAGGAGGACUAAAUGCCGGUGUCCUCCAUAUGCCAUGUUUAUCAGGAGCUGAGGGUGGGCCCCCUAAUGACCCUCACAAAAGCAGGCUGGAGGCUCUGCUCUGAGCUGCCCAAGUCUGUCUCAAGCAGCUGCUGCUGAGGUUGCAACAGGGCUCAACCAUGGCUUUUCCACUCUGGGAAAAUCUCACAUUGGAGCAGCAGGAGCUGCAAAUGAGAUGGAGCCAAGGCUAUGGUUGAGUGAAGGAAGUGCAGGCUGGCCUGUGGUAGCUUUCUGCCAUAGGGCAAAGGUGGCUCUAUCUGUGAGUCUUUCUGGUCAUGUAGGCCCAUCCUCUAGCCUUCUUAGGAGGCUCAUCUUCUACUUUCAGCGCCAUGGCACCAACGGGAGGCCUAGGGUCAGGGUCUGCUCAUUUCUUGGUCCGGCUAUGCAGCCCCUCUAGCCCUGGGAGGUUAUCGGAGAGUGGAGAGGUGUUGAUGAGAGGAUUCUGGCAUGUGGAAGGACAGGGUGGAAGAAAUCCUGGAUGCCUCUGAGGUCCCAGGUUUCUGGUAUACCCUCUGGCUGGACCAUGGGGAGACAGGGCAAAAAAGGAAGGAGGGGUGCCCACAGCCUGCUCUAGCUCUGCACUGGGGCUUGGCUCAGCAUGGGAGAGACCAGAGACAGCAAGAGGCUGCGUGAAGGAAGCACAGCCAGCUCACUAUGGUCUAAGGAGAGAACAGGGAUUGGCCUCAGUUUUAACCACCGUGCCCUUUGCUCACCAGGGCUCUGGGGCCGGCCAGGUCAGCCAGUUGGUGGGAUUCCAGCCUCAGGGUGGCCGAGCUGCAGGUGCAGCACCCGGCCUCCAGGUGGCGCCAAUCUGCUUACUUUGAGGUGGCCUCUUGACAAGCAGCUGAGCUGCACGCAGUCCCUCAGCCUGCCGAGGUCCUGGGAGCAGGGAUCAAGGUGGUCCCCGUAAACCUGACAGUAAACCUGACAGAGGCUGCAGGAGUGCAUUUCCACCCAGGGUGCACUCAGCGAGUGGAACUCCACACCCGUUUCUUUGGAGUCAAGGCGCGACCUCUCAGGGAGGAGACUGCUCCUGGUUGCCCACUGCCGGGUCAUCCCAGCUUGCAGUGGAACCCUCCGCAGCCUGGCCUCUUCCAGGGUAGCCCCUCACUCCCCUCUCUCUUGUCCUAGGAUAAGGCCGAGGAGGGCUGACGAGUUCCAGCUCUGGGGAUGCCCUAUCAGCUGUGUCACCUUGAACAAAUCAUUUCUCCUCUUGGGUCUCUGUUUCCUCCAGUGUGAAACGUGGUGAAGGCAUGAGGGGCUAUGAGAGCCCCAAGGCCUCUUUCAGAGAUCUCCUCUGGGUCCCAUGUGACCCCGUGGCUAUCCCCAAAGGCAAGAGGGUCCCCAGCCCUGCAGCCAAGGCCCUGGGACACCCUUUCUAAACAAGUGCAGGUCUCUGACGGGCUGAGCUUUGCUCGCUUGGGUUUCUUUGCUUUUUUCCUUUUUUUAUCUUUCCUGAAUGAAAUUCCUGCCAGCUCCGAAGGAAGGAGGGAAGGGAGCUAGCCGCAGCGUAGAAAGUUUCCUUGACUCCUCCUCCGGCUGGGUCUCCCUCCCUUGCCAAGCCCAGCCUGUGAAACUGAAUAACGAAGAUCACUCAACAAUGCCUGCUCCUCUCUGACUGCACCGCCCCGCCGCCGACGCCCAGUAGAGCCCCCGGGGCGGUCCCCACCGACGGCGCAGCCCGCCGGGACCGGGAGAAAGCAGCUGCGGACACCGCGCCCGUGCGUCUGCGCGCCUGGCCGCCAGGUGACCCAGCAGCCCGGCCGCCGAGAUGCCCAACCCGCCCAGGCUCCGGGCGCUGUGACUUCGCGCCGCUGUGUGCGCCUCCCCGAGCGCCGGCUGCGCCCCCCAGCCCGGCCCGGGGCCUACCGCCUGCCCGGCCCCCUGCCACUGCCAGGAGGACGGCAUCAUGCUGUCUGCCGACUGCUCUUGAGCUUGGGCUGUCCGCCAUACCGGGGGACCUGGAUCCCCUGACGGCUUACCUGUGAGUACUGCCCGCCUGUCUCCACCUGGUACUGCGGGCUGCUGGCUUGCACCCAGUCCUGGCCUCAGCAGGACACCUGCUUGCUUGGUGCCCUGGGGCGUGGGCAUCCCGGAGAGGGUUCACCCCCUUCCAAGUUGACCGUUGCGGGACUGGGGAGGGGAGAAGAGUCUGAGACUAAAUAUCAGGCGAGCAGGGAGACCAGGCUUCCCUGACUUGGCUUCCCCAUUGGCCUCCGUGCUUGUGGGCUGACUGCGGGAGCCCAGGUUUGGCAAGGUGGGUUCUGGACCCUAAGCGGGAGGGCGCGGGGCUGGCUCCCCCAUCUCCUGUUGCUGCAUUCUCUUCCAGCAGAGCAGUGCCCAGGAUGGUGGCUGAGGGUAAAGCUGACAGAACUGGAGGUGGAGGUGAGGGGAGCGUGCCCCAGUGGGGUGGAAAUAAUGUCUGUUCUUCUGCCAUGGUGAGGACAACAGGGCUGUCACACUGAGGCUGGGUGGCCUUCUUUGGGGGGGGGGUCCCAGAAGCUGGGAGGGGGGCCUUAUCCACUCUUGUCUCCUCAGAAAGGGACUCUGCCAGCACCAUCUCCCUUUACUGGGGCCUCCCGGCUCCCCCAGGGGCCUCCCUAAAGUCAUGUCCCAAGAGGCUGUGUUGGAGACACUAAUUUGUGGGCAGGCGCGGAGGCUGAAAAGCGGAGAACCAUUUUUAGCGUCUGAGUUGGGGUGAGAUGGCCCGUGAAGGGGACCCUAUUGGGGGCAGCUGUCCUGUCCGUCUGGCUCACAGGAGCUUCCCCUCAGAGCUGGAGGGCUGGGGGCUCUCGCUGCUUACCACAUGGGCAGGAGGAGGGUGAGAGAGCACAUUCCAGGCCACCUACCCGCACCCCCAGCCCCGCUCUGGGGAAAGGAGACCUCCUCCAGCCCAGCUCUGCAGGCUCCAUCAACUUCCUCAGAGGAGCUGGGAGCAGGUGGGAAAGCCUGGGGCCUUCUGCUGAGGGCUAGGAUCCCAGAGCUCCUUCUGGCCUGAGAGAGACCCCUCAUGGCUUCUAGCAUGUGGGAGUUCUAGCACGUGGGAGCUUAGAGGAAGAGGACGCUGGGCGAAUCUUUAUAGGGGCCUAGCAAGAAUUUGUGGAACUAAAAGGAUGCUCAGUGUUGGCAGUGUCCUGGUGGGAGGCAGAGGGUCCCAGAUGGCAACUCUUCAUGGGGCUCCUCUCCAAAUGUCCCUGUCCCUAGGUUGGGAUGUCCUCCUCCACUCCAAAAGGCACAGGCUGUGGGCCAGGUAAGGGAGUGAGAAGAGAAAAAUAAUGCCCAUCUUCUAGAAGGACAAAUGGAAUCCUUCACAGUGCAGCAGGUGACGGCGGAGGCAGUCAUGGGAAUAAAGCUACCAACUGCACAGAGGCUGGGUGCUCAGCAUCUGGCAAAGCAGGGCAGGCUCCGGCCCCAGCCCACACCCAGGCCAGCCCUGCUUUCAGCAGUUUUCUAUCCUGGGAGUAUGUGACAUUGGUUCAUUGGAAGACAGGGUCCUGUGGCUAAAGAGUUUAGAUAUGACUUCUGUGGAGCCUUUCUCUGGAAGGACCUGGGGUAGGAGGUACACUGUCACCUUUGGAAUUCAAGCAUCCUACCAUCCAUGCUGGCAGAAGAUUUUCCCACUAACUUGUCACAAUUCCCUGGGAGCUGUGAAGUCUGCAUUUGGGUUCAGUGGAGGUGGGGUUUUCUGAGCUGGUCUGUGUCUUCCUGGGGAUUGAGAAAGCCCCCCUCUCUCUCAAGACUCAGGGGAUGCUUCUGAGAAUGGCGGAGAGAAGAGAGGGAGUGGGAGCUAGAAAGAGUACGAUGGGUCCUGAGGCAAUGUGGGGAAUUUAGCAGUGGGGUCUGGAAUAUUGGAAGGAGGUAGCAGAGGACCGUGUUCCCUGCCCUGGGCUGGGGAGGGGUCCCAUCAGGAUGGUGCAUGAGGGAUAUCUACAGUUGUCCUGAGGGUGUCUCAGAGGAGGAAUUUUCUUUCUUUGCCCUCUCUGGAGAACAGCUCUACCACAAAGGCACCUGAAGGUGGGGUUGAGGGCUGGCAUGGAGAAGAGCCAGGGUGGGGAAGUCUUGGGGCUCCUUUCUCUUUUCAGCGAUGUUAGGAGGUGCCCACCUUGGCCCUGCCCCAUGUAUCCCAGCCCUUGCUGAGGACAGCACAGAUUCGCAUCUGAUGAUAUAACCAGCAGUGCCUCUCUCUGGGCCACUCAAACCUUGGUUCCUUCCUAGCUCUGCCACCUACUGAGAGUCACUCACUGAACACCUCUAAGCCUCAGGUUCUUGAUGUGUACAUGGAGAGGAGGAAGCAUGUUGCUGAGAGGAUUAAAUGAGAUAAUAUGUUCAGUGAAAGUCCCCACAGUGCCUGACACCCGAGGGUGACUCUGAAAUGGUGGCUAGUAUUAUCAUGCCUCCUGUGGGUGCUCCGUGGAGGUGGAGGUAAACUACCAGGCCUCUCCACACCAGAGGGAAAUUGAGCCUAGUGGGAAGUAGCAGGCCAGAGAGGACUCGAAGAUCCUUAGAAGGAGCCAUAGACGGAACCAUAGGAGGCGCCCAGGAGCUAUGGGCUCCAGAAGGUACCCGCAAGUCCUCUUGCACAUUCCUUGACCUGGUCUCAAUAAAAAUGACAUCACAUCUCUUCCCCCACUCCACGGCUGUGAGAUUUUCUCUUUCUAGCCAAUACCUUUCAUGAAGUAGGUGCUUCCACCUCUCCAUCUUUGUUCUAGGGAAGACCAGAAAGGCAUCUUUAUAGUCAACUGGUAUUCUUUGCCUUGAUACUCAUGUCCAAAAACUAUUACCACUUUUGGGCUCAAUGCCAGGCCUGUUUGAUCAAGGUUGGGAAGACACACUUCAGAUACUCACAAUCCUUCAUAUGUCUCUCUUUUUUCAACAGUUUCCUCCUAAACUGUGGUCUCAGCGAGGCUCAUUGACACUCACCGGGGUUUCGACAUUCUCCCUGGCUAGGGCCUGUUCUGGAAAUAGACCAAGGGGGAGAUGGAGCCCCUGGCCGUGGGACAUCCAAUCUGAUGGUGAUGAGAAGGCAUGAUGCCUCUUGUUCUAUUCUUUUUUGUUUCUUCUUUUUUUUUAAAUAAAAAAGACCAGUAAUGUGCUGACUUCAUAACAAGGUUUGAGGGAGGCACUUCUCACACGUGAGCAUGAAAACCCAAUCGUCACGCUUCUUAACUGCAAAAGGAUCACCUCUUGUUCUAUUGUAUUGCAUGUACACAUGAUGCACAGACAGGAAUACACAGACAGCAAAUAACUUGUUGGGCAGAUAAUCCCCGGAGUUGUUCCUGAGUAGAAAGAUCUGGGUAGUUACUCUGGGCCCCCAAGGCUGAGCAGUGUCAGUAAACAGAUGGUGCCAGAAAAGGUAUCUCACGCAGCUAGUUGUGAAAGACGUCAGGCUCAUGCACUUGCAGUCACACCUAAGCACCCAUUUUCAUAGCCCACUGCCACCAGGGCUGAGGGAGGGGCCGCUACACCAUGCAACCCCCACUUCAGACUGCUGUUUGCUUUCUUGGGAAUUAUAACUUUAAGAUUGCCUGUGAUAACUGAUAACCACUGGACUUGUUUGAAAGGUUAGAUGGUGUGUGCAUGUGUGUCUGUAUGUGCGUGUGUGUCUGUGUGUGUCUGCGUGUUUCUCUGUGUGUGUGUAGAUACAGGGUAAUUUGCAGGGGAUGUCUACAGCCAAAAUGAUGGAGGCAGGAUGCUGGAGGCAGAGAGUAAGGGGUUGUGGCAUUUGCCACAACAAAGCAGAGUUCAAACUAUCACUUACUAGCUAUGUAACCCCCAGCCAGUUGAUUAGCCCUUCUGUGACUUAGUUUCCUCACCUGUAAACAGGGUUAAGAUCUACCUCAUAGGGUUGUUGUGUGGAUUCACUUAGAUGAUGUUUGCAAAGGGUUUGGCAUAAUGUCUGGUACAUGGGAAGAGCUCAAUAAAUGUUAGCCAGUGCUGUUAUUAGGAUAACCAGGGCGAAGAAAUGUCAGUCAUGGAAGUCUUCCUGGAGGAGGAAGUCCUGGAGCUAGCAUGGGAGGGAGGGAAGCAGGCCUAUUCUAUGAAAGGUGUAGGAUAGGUGUGUGUGUAGUUGCGGGCUGUGAGAGGUGCAAGAAGCUGCGAAGAAGAUGGAAUGAGCUCUGCUGGGAACCCAGAGUAAUUUUAGGGUUUUUUUUUUUUGUUUUUUUUUUUUUUAGAAUACAGUCUGAAAAACCAGGGAGGGGAGGGGAGCACCUGAUGGAAGACGCCAGCGUGCUCCCUUACAUGGUCUAGACGGGCCCCUGCAGGGGCUACAGAUGAGGAGGCAGAGAAACAGGCGGCCUUAACAGGGGAGAGCCAGCCUUGGAGAGGAUGUAUUGUGAAUUGGGGGUGGGGGUGCCAACGUGCCAGGUCUCAUUUCUCACUUCCAAGGCCACCCUUCCCUGGCCCAGUCUUAGUCGCCCUUUCUAAUAGAUUCUAAGAGUUUGACUCCUCCUUCCGGAAACUUGGGGUUUGUGAGUUCUAAUCUUCAGUCUCUCAGUUGCUAUGAGACCCUGUGCAAGUCCCAAAACUUCCCUGGACCUCAAUGUCCAGAGAAGCCAUGUUUUGGAUGAAAAACUAGAAAGUGGGAGAGGCAGGGCGCAAUCCUCUUUGAGUCUCCUGCUCCUGGUGUGGGACAGAGAAAGCUCCCAGGGAGAGCUGCUCAGCUGCAGGCAGUGAGGGAAGGGAAGGAGGGAAGGGGAGGACCCAGGCAGCAUCCAGACCAGGGUGGGGAAGAGAACUUAUUCUUAAGCAACUUAUUCUUAAGCAGCUUCCUGUUCUCUUAGCCUUGAACUUGAAGCCAGGAAUAGGGACAGGGAUAGAAGAGCCAAGGCUUGGAGCCGCUGGCCUAUGCAGAUGCACUUGCUUGUCCAGCAACAGUUGGACAGGGCCUGGCCUGGGCAAUGUGCUCCGGGGUGCAUGGAAAAUGUGGUCAUUCUUUGUCCGGGGGAUUCUUCUUAUUCCCUCCCAUUUCUCUUUACAGAGAAUUUUACACUUCCUUGCAGACACUGAAUUAUUGUGUUAAAUUAUUAUAACUUAAUAGCUUGUGAAAUAUACAAACAACAAGAUUAUGCCGACAUGGCUGUUAGAAGACAAGACAAAUUAGCAGACUCAUGCUCAUUUCUGUCAUUGAACAAUUCGUCUCAUUCCUUCCUCAAGGCGCUGCCGUUUUCCUGCUCUCCGUCCGUGGGGGUGUUUGUUUACACAUCUCUCGCAAGAAAAGCGCUUCUCUCUGGCUUCCCUCUGCCUCCCCCCCUCCUUCCUGCCCUCUCCCCUGCCUUCCCUUCCUCCUUCCUUCUCUCCCUCCCUCCUUUUCUCCCCGUUCCUUUCUUCCCUUCUCUCUGUCCUUCCCCCUUCCUUCCUUUACUGAUGUAACAACCUUGGUGUGCCGUGGCUAAGCCACACUCCACCCCUGACCUGCGGGGGAUGAGUCAAACGGUCAGACUUGCCUGGGCUUGUUCCACGCUCCCCUGGCUAGACAGGCGUCUACACAUUCUCAGUUAGGGGCUGGACAGGGGCAGCUGCUAGACAGGUCCUAUUCUGGGCCUCUCUGAGAAAAAGUGUCCCUGAAAAGAAAGGGAGCUCCCACUUCCAUGGACCCUUAGCCAUGCCAAGGGGCAGUACCGGCUUUCUGCUGGUGCUGAUGAGCUGUGGUGUGAACUCACGAAGGUCAGCUGAUUCACGGGCCCUGGAUCUCUGCUCUCCUUCCGCUAAGUGGGACUCGGGCCAGCCUGCCAUGAAGGAGGUAGCUGCUGCAGCUUUCAGGAAGGAACACCAGGUGUCAACCCCACCGGGUGGCCAACCCCACCUGGCUAGGACCCAGUCCCUGGUGGCUGCUCUCCCGAGAGGCGGGCAGGGCUGGGGCUAGGGGCUGUCCAGGAGUGUUCUGGACUGUCCCUUCGCCACAAUUCCCACAGGCUGCUCAGGACCGAGGCUGAGACGGGCGACCAGGACGGGAUUGUAUGGCUGCAGGAGGCUACACAGUCCCAGGAGGCUGCUUCUAAGAGGCCCACGUGGCCUGCAUGGGGAUGCGCCUGGCUGUCCAGCAUGUGGUCAUUUGAAUUGUACAUGUUUCACUGGGAUGCCUACAGAAAAGUAGACAGAAGAUGUGGAAAAAGUUUUUGAAAUGUUGCAAACUUAGCUACUUUUAAAAUAAAAAAAAUAGCUUUAUAAUUAUAAAAGCAAUAUGUAAAUCUUAAAAUAAUUUGCUACAUUCUAGUAAGCAUCUUAUGAUCUCUAUGUGCCCUAUAACAUUAUGUUGUAUAGUUUAAAUAUAUACAAUAAAAUCUAUUUUAAAAAAUAGCAGGCAAUUAAAUCUCAUUUUAAAAAGAGUCAGUUUAACUCCCUUCUAAUUUCUACCCCUCGUUUUCCCUCUGUGUGUGUGUAUGUGUGUAUGUCAUCUUCGUUAAAUGGCUCAAUGCAUUCCGAAUAUUUUUUCCGUUGUCUUCAUGAUAUAUUCAUGGGAAGGGGAGUAUGUGGCUUAUUGCUGUUAGUUUAUCAAUAGAGAAUGCUGGCCAAAUGUCUUUAAGAGUAAUGACGAUCUCAAUAGCGGUAAUGACAGCUACCACUUUCGGAGCUCCUCCUGCCUACCAGGCACCACUGGGGUCCCUCUCUGCAGCCCCUCACGCCAUCCUCCUAGUCACUUUCUGAGGUGUGUGUGGUCAUCCUCCCAUUUGCAGGAGGGCUCUGAAGCACAGGAAGGUUCGAUACUUACCCCAUGGCCGGGAUAAGAUGGGCCAGGGCCAGGCUGUGAACUAAGGCAGAGAAGGGGCUCUCCAGCACCUUUCCUGAGCCCUUGCCUCCUCUGCCUCUGCCCCAUGGCCAUCUGGUGGGUGGACACAGCUAAGCCAUGGCUAGAACCCAGCAUUCUCAUGACUGCUUUAACCAUAGAAAAUCACAAGUUGCAAGCAACGGGACACACAUUUACUUGUCUACAUUAGCACUUGUGAUGAAGAUAAUUCAUGCUAUUUUUUUCCCCAUUCGGAACGUACCUGUCCUUAGAAUAGUUAGAGAAGUUUUAUGAGGAUUGUGUAACUAGCAUUAACUUAGGUCACCUAAUUCUUGAUCAACCAAAUCGCAGGUCAAACAAAGGAGGCCUAUGCCUUCAUAGAAAGCAUCAGUUAAUGUCCAUUUAAAAACUGAUGCUGGCCGGGCCCGGUGGCUCAUGCCUGUAAUCCCAGCACUUUGGGAGGCCGAGGCGGGUGGAUCACGAGCUCAGGAGAUCGAGACCAUCCUGGCUAACACGGUGAAAACCCAUCUCUAUUAAAAAUACAAAAAUUAGCUGGGCGUGGUGGCACAUGCCUGUAAUCCCAGCUACUUGGGAGGCUGAAGCAGGGAGAAUUGCUUGAACUCUGGAGGUGAAGGUUACAGUGAACCAAGAUCGUGUCAUUUCACUACAGCCUGGGUGACAGAGCGAAAGUCUGUCUCAAAAAAAAAAAACAAACAAACUGAUGUUGCAUCUUCCAGUCUAAAAUAAAAAUACAUUGUUAACCAUUUUUAUGUUUACAAAACCUACAGUUUUAUAGUUCUAAAAGUAGUACAUGUUCAUUACUUUUUAUUUAUUUAUUUAUUUUUUGAGACAGAGUCUCACUCUGUGGCUGGAGUGCAGUGGCGCGAUCAAGGCUCACUGCAAGCUCCGCCUCCCGGGUUUACGCCAUUCUCCUGCCUCAGUCUCCCGAGUAGCUGAGAUUACAGGCAUGAGCCACCGCGCCCAGUCCAUGUUCAUUACUUUUUAAAGAUCAGUCAAUUAAAGCUAAUUUUUAAGAAAGAAUUAAGCUUAUAUAUUCUUCCAAUGUCUAACAUCUAUUUUCUUAUAAGUGUGUCUUAUUUCAUGGAAAUAAUGCCUCAUUUAUUAUUUUAGUAAGUUUUGGCAACCUAGUUAACUCAGUUCACUUGUCCAGUAUGUCAAAUCUUCAUUUUACUCUGGGACCAACUGUGAAGACAUCUGGAACCAAGGGGUGUGGUAGGGGUUAUAUGGCUCUGUUGUUUGUAGUUAGCUUUGCAUUUUUGCUUCUUGAUCAUUAGAUCAGAAACUAGACCUCAUCUCAUGAGUGCUUAUGUAUUGAUUGAUUAUUUGGGUCAGUCAGGGUUGCUGACAUUUGAAAUGCAUGCAGGGUAGGAAUAAAAUGGUUGUGAUGCAUUUGGUUAGCAAAUAGCCCACUUUCCCAGGACUGAUGAGAGGGACAUUUGGAGGCUCAUGACAGGCAGCAUGAUAGAGGGGAGUCAGCCUGGUCUCACCGGCAGGUCUUCAAAGCUCAGACUUUCGUGUCUGUGGAAGGCUGGGUUACACGAUUUAACAAAAACAAACCUGAAGAGUCCUCUUGUCAUUGGUAAGCUCCCAUCCCCAGAAAUCAUCCAGUAUAUUUCUCUCUCCACACCUGGGAGACACUUUCGAUUCAUCUAGAAGUUUCUUGAAUUGUUCUUUGGCUAGCAGCAAUUUACUUUUCUUUUCCUUGUAUUCUUCUUUUAUUCUUGUCUUGACAAACUGUUCAAAUAUCUUAAAACACAGACACAGAAGAAAAACAUCUGACAUUUUGGUAUCUUUCAUCUGACCAUCCAUAUCCAAUGUUCUCAUUUAAACAUUACCCAGCAUCAUUGUUUAUAAUCAGAAACUCUGGUCCUCCUGUCUGGUGGCACUUAGAGUCUUUUGUGCCAUAAUGCAGCAGUAUGGAGGGAGGAUUUUAUGGGGAAAUGGGGAUAGUCUUCAUGACCACAAAUAAAUAAAUAAAGGAAAACUAAGCUGCAUUGUGGGUUUUGAAAAGGUUAUUAUACUUCUUAACAAUUCUUUUUUUCAGGGACUUUUCUAGCAGUAUGACUGUUACUUGACCUUCUUUUAAAAGCAUUCCCAAAAUGCUCUAUUUUAGAUAGAUUAACAUUAACCAACAUAAUUUUUUUUAGAUCGAGUCAGCAUAAAUUUCUAAGUCAGCCUCUAGUCGUGUUUCAUCUCUUUCACCUGCAUUUUAUUUGCUGUUUGUCUGAAGAAAGGAAAGAGGAAAGCAAAUACGAAUUGUACUAUUUGUACCAAAUCUUUGGGAUUCAUUGGCAAAUAAUUUCAGUGUGGUGUAUUAUUAAAUAAAAAAAAAACUUUGUUUCCUAGGUUGAAGGUCUAAUUGAUACGUUUGACUUAUGAUGACCGUUUAUGCACUUUCAAAUGAAUUUGCUUUCAAAAUAAAUGAAGAGCAGCUGUCCUUCUUUCCUCUUUUAAGUGUUCAGCUGUGGCAUGCUCAGAGGUUCCUGCUGGAUUCCAGCUGGAGCAGUGUGAUACCCUUCUUUUUCAGCUGUUCGUGCCUUCCUUUCUUGUAUCCACCAAAGUGGAGACAAAAACAUGAUCUCAAAGAUACACAGUACCUACUUAAUUCCAGCUGAUGGGAGACCAAAGAAUUUGCAAGUGGAUGGUUUGGUAUCACUGUAAAUAAAAAGAGGGCCUGGGAAUUCUUGCGAUUCCAAAAAAAAAAAAAAAAGAAAAACAUCAUGAAAUUGCAUAUUAGAAAUGAAAUCUUGUAUUCCAAGCACAACAUGAGAAAGCAGCAAGAAUCUAUGGCAAAAGCUGUUCUUGUUCACAGCUGCUGGAGUUAUGAGCAAUAGCCUUUCAGCAUAGCUCUCAAGGAUCCAAGCGGUCUGAAUAAUUAAACCUGGGUCCCCACACGGCCCGGCGUUUCUCUACAUGCAGGUGCCAUUUCUGGGUCAAAUGUGAAACAGCCCUGCUGGAGAAACCCGGAGAAUGACUUGGCUGCCCUCUCUGCAGGCGUCUGGAACCAAGUGGUGGUUUGGAACCUGUGCUGUAGGCUGCAGUGGUCCUCACUGUGGCCUCUGAGCAGCAUCCGUCAUGCGCGGCCUCCUCACUUUCUCAUCACGGCCAGUGGCACCAGAACAUAGUAGAGCACUUAGUUCAUGCUAGUCACUUCCUAGGGUGACGUAAUUGACAUUCUCCCAAAAUGAGUCUCCCAAAAAUGACCUUAACUUGUGAAAAGAAAGUAAAUUCUGCAUCUCUGAUCCCCACUUGUGAACCUGGGUGUCUGGCACCUUGGGGAGGACUCAGGGCGCAUAAGCGGCCUCUUCUGAGGAGGUCACGGGAUGCCAGGCUGCCUGGGUCAUCAGUGUGGAAACAACUGGCCAGGAGGCCUGACCCUCAGGUACUGGGCACGCCCCUGUCUGACCAGAAAUGCAUCUCAAAUGCUGCCCCAAACAGGAAAACCCUGUUCUUCAGUGGGAAGAACACGCACAUCAGCCGGCAGGCAAUUCUGGGCAAGUCUCCAGGGCACUUCUCCUGGAACCUGGCAGCCCACAUAACGAGAUGCAAUCUCUUUGUGACAGGCCACAGAACCUCUUCUCUGUCAGAGUAAGAUGGAUCACUGUUCUAACAACUGAAAAACGGUCAUUUAUGGACUACAGAGUCAAAGAGGGACAAAGUUCUUUCAUUCCUCAUGCUACCCCAAACUCAAGAAUGUUAAAAAUAAACUGAAGAUAAGUGCUUAUGCAAACAUAAAUAAAAAUAUCAAGAGAAAGUCCACAUAGGAUCCUAUAAGGCCAAUAAAUAGCAACUGUGCACCAAUCCAACCAACUGCCAGGCCGAUCCUAGAAUGUGACCGAGGACCAAGCAGGCAGCUUCUUCUACACUCAUGCCAACUCUCUUCCCACUUUUCUUAUUGUUUCAGAUUCCAUGUCAGUAGUGGCAAACCUUUACAGGAUUAUGAAUACAAAAUGCCACUGGUCUCCUGAAGAUACAGCAGCAAAAUGAAACAUCCACAAAUAUGACUUAAAUUGAGAAUAUGUGCAUGUCUAUAACUCCACCCUUCACUGUGCUGCGGUUGUUCUCUGGACCACUCCUAUUUCAUCAGUGUUAUUGUCAACCUGAAGAACAAGCAGAAAGAGGCUCUCUGAAAUGAAAUGGAUGCUUAUUUGGGAAGAGAGCAUUGCAACGGGAAUACACAUGCCAUCGUAAAUGACAAGAAUAUUCAGGGAGGGCUGUCUCUCCCGAUCUGAAACCCCAAUUAUACCUGUGAAGGCAUGGCAUUCUGGAACACCCCAUUUCAAAAGGAGAAAUUAUAUUUGUAAAAAUUUUCAGAACCCCUACAGACCAUAACAAAGAGUAAUGUCUUGAAAACAGGCUGAGUUUAGUUGAUUUGUAAUCAAAGUUUAACCUCUUUUAGGACCCCAUCACAUUUGGCUGCCAUAUCUCCUUGGACUCCUCUUGGCUGUGACAGGGUCUCAGACGGCCCUUGCCGUUGAUGACCUUGAUGGUUUGAAGAGCCCUAAUCAGGUGCAUUGCAGGACGCUCCUCAGUUGGGAUUUGUCUGAGGCUUUCCUCGUAAAUAGCCUGGGGUUAUGGGUUUUGGGAGGAAGACCACACAGAUAAAUGCCAUUCUCAUCAUGUCAUAACAAGGGUACACACGCUGCUGACAUGACUCUUCACUGACAGUGGUGGCUGUAGUCGGCUGGCUGAGGUCUCCCCACUGUGAAGUCCCCCUCUCCAUGCUGUACUCUCUGGAAGGACGUCGCCAUGCACAGCCGACACUUAGGGGUAUGGGUUGUGCUCCACUUCCGAGGAGGAGAAGUAGCUACAUGAGUGACUGGGAAAUGUCCUGGGGGGGAUACUCAUCCAUGCCUCCACAUUACUUAUGUACUCAAUCUUUUAUUUAUAUUGCUAUGGACUCAUGGAUACUCAGCCCAUGCUCGGGCUGGACUCCAGUGUGACUUUGCUUCUUUUCCUGCUCAGCUUCUUCGAGGUUGGCCUUGGUGAGCUCCCGUGGUGGGUUCCCAGCUCCUGUGUGCCUCUGACAGGUGCUCAUCACUUGGCUUUUUGGGCAUCUCCUUAAUUUCUGCUACUAAAGAUGCUCCUGGCUUAUCUUCUGCAUGUCCUGCCUUUGCCCUUGAAUCAGUCAAUUCUCCAAGAAGCUCUGGCUCCUUUCCUAGAACAGUGUUAGAAACCAAGAUCUGGGCACUGGUGUGUUCAUUGCUAGUGAGGUGUUGUUGCUUCUAGACUCUCUCAGCUGAUAGAGCAAGGGAAUGUUUAAGCCAUUUAGAACAUAAAUGCAUUCAUUUAAAAACAUGGACUAUGUAUUCACUGUGCCUUGGGCCCCAAGCUGGGUGUUGAGGAUCUUGAGAAAAUAAAUCAAGGAAGCCCAUGGUCUAGGGUAGUGCUGGUGAGGAGAUAACAGACUCUUGAGAUGGCACUAGGGCCAUGGCGGAGACAGACCUGGACACUAGUGGGACCCAGCAAAGACCCACAGCAGCCUGGGGAGGCGGCUUCCAGAGUGCUGCGACUUUGGAACAUGAAUACUCCUGAGGGUUCACAAACGAGCCUGGGGGGUAUUCCAGGACCAGCUGGUAGGGGGGCAAAGGUUGGGUCAUGAACUAUGGGGAAUGCAAGAAUUGCAAGAGGUUGAACAUGCCUGGGGGUGCAGAGACAGAGGCUGAGGUGCAGGGCAGUCUGAGACAUGGUUAGGAGCCUGGGCAUUCUCUUGAGAGACAGGGGAGAAGAAAAUUCAGAUGGAGCGUUCAUUUCAGGAAGGCCACCCUGGGAUCUGGGCAGGAGAUGAAUACCUGGCAGGGUCAGGGAAGGGAAGGUAAUUGAAAGUUUACAAAAACAAAACCCCAUUCACAUUCUUAAAGUAUUCUUCAUAGAGGUACUAUUUCAAUAAACACAUGCUUUAUUUGUAUAUUAUAACAGAUGAAUUUUCUUCACUGGCAAUUUCUAUCUUUAACUGUCAAAUUUAAGCCUUUUCUGUAAUACCCAUGAGCUCUUUUAUUGGGUGGGAUGACCCAGGGUCCAGCCAGGGAUUCUCCUCCACAGAGUGAGAACACGGUGAAGCAUAGCUGGGACUCAGGGCGAGGUGGCGAUUCAGGGGGGUUUCCAGGCAGAAUGGAUCCGUUUAGCUUCGACUGAGUGCACCUGCCCCCAGGAGCGGGUCUCCAGGCAGAAUGGAUCCCUUUAGCUUUGACUAGUGCACCUGCCCCCGGGAGCAUCUGGGGCUGUUAGAGAAGCUGUGGGCAGCCUCCACUCAGCCCAAUCAGAUGGCACACACCCACCUCAUGGGGACCUGUGCACAGCUGGAUGGUCCCAGCUCUGCAGGGAGAGAGGAUUAGACCCUGUGUGGCAUAACGACACCAGUUUCUGGAAAAUGUUGGAGUUCUAGAAGUAUAAUAAAAUAAUUUUUCAAUUAAUGAUGUGUAGUUUUUGCCCCCGAAGGGAUUUAUAAUCUCUAUAGAAGGUCAGAUAAGCCAUCUCUACAAUGAUUACAACUCAUAAUGAUAAAACCAACUGUGUCAUGUCAGGGACAGUUCAGGGAAGGGUGAGAGCACAGUGGCUGGGACCCAGGAUGGAGGUGGGGGCUGAAGUGAAGGCUGCACAGCCAUGUGUGAAACAGGGUCUUUCCCUGACCUCCAGGUGGGCGCAGGACUUCUCCCAAAGGGUCCUGACAGCUAUGGGGACGAGGAGUCCUAUGAACUGCUCCUGAGGGAAGCCCGUCGUUCCCGAGCCUGUGUGAAACACUUAUGAUGCCCAGAGAGUACAUUCCAUGGGGCCACGAUUGCACACGUGUGUGUGACUAUACACACACACAUAAGCACACACACCACACAUACAAACAUUCACAGAGGCGCAUGUACACAUGCAAACACAUGAACACACCCAGGACACGCUAAGAUAUGCAUACACAGGCACACAUGUACAUAGUUGCACAAAUGCAUACAUAUGUACAAAGAUGCACACAUUGAUACACACAUGCACAUGUGUGCCUACACACACACACACACACACACACACACACAGUACCACUACCACCACCAAGGAAGUCCAACAUUGUAGAACAACCAGGGGAAGAAAGCCCGUCAACUGAGUAGACAGCAAGCUGCGUAUCUCUUUUAAGUCCGUCUAUGUCGUGGGACUGUUCUGUAAGUGGCCGUGGACAAACCCAGCUCUCCCUGUUUCUGGCUGGUACCUCUCCAGAAUGACUGGAAUGCACUGGGAAUGCAACAGACUGAGAACAAUCAGGCUUUGUUUGGGCCCCGCCCCAGAAACAAGACAUCCUUCAAGCUUUAGCCCAGCAUUCACAGGACCCCAGGGUAUAAAACCCACUGCGGGCUGCUUUCUGGGAUCCCUUGGUUACAGCAAAGGGUAGAUGCGACUCCGUCCCCUCCUUGCAGCUUUCCUGGGCCUGGGGGACUGGCUUACAAGCACCUUCAUCUUCUACCACCCUUGCUUCCUGUCUGCGGGGAAUAAACGCACUUCAGAUGAUUUGCUGCUCAUCUUCUACCACCCUUGCUUCCUGUCUGCAGGGAAUAAACCCACAUUCCCUGCCCUCCAGCACUGAAUAGUAUCCGUGGAGGACUAGUGGAGAAUAAAGAAUUUUGCUGUUGCCCAGAGAUGACCAGGCCACCCCCACGUCCUGUAUUGUCUGUGGAGGUCACAUGCGGCCAGUAAGGAGGAAUGUCUACCUCUCCCAGGCAUCGGGGUAUCAAUGGGCACCCCAAUGGGGAGCCAGGAUUGCUAUCCUCACCUAUGCUGUAAUAAAGGCCCCCCUGUGUGUAUUGAUGGAGCUCAAGUGGAAAGAUGGAUUAUACCCUCACCGAAC
RNAcentral lists this long non-coding RNA (19537 nucleotides) under Homo sapiens (human). RNAcentral's name for it is "non-protein coding lnc-CENPP-20:5". The record is from RNAcentral. Lineage: Eukaryota; Metazoa; Chordata; Mammalia; Primates; Hominidae.